RNAcentral lists this ribosomal RNA (414 nucleotides) under uncultured beta proteobacterium. Its description in RNAcentral is "bacterial SSU rRNA". It matches the Rfam family "Bacterial small subunit ribosomal RNA", at positions 9 to 426 of the family's 1533-position model. Lineage: Bacteria; Pseudomonadati; Pseudomonadota; Betaproteobacteria. The record is from RNAcentral.
GAGUUUGAUCAUGGCUCAGAUUGAACGCUGGCGGCAUGCUUUACACAUGCAAGUCGAACGGCAGCACGGGGGCAACCCUGGUGGCGAGUGGCGAACGGGUGAGUAACGCGUCGGAACAUGCCCAGUAGUGGGGGAUAACACAUCGAAAGAUGUGCUAAUACCGCAUACGCACUGAGGUGGAAAGCGGGGGAUCGCAAGACCUCGCGCUAUUGGAGUGGCCGAUGUCCGAUUAGCUAGUUGGUGGGGUAAUGGCCUACCAAGGCGACGAUCGGUAGCUGGUCUGAGAGGAUGAUCAGCCACACUGGGACUGAGACACGGCCCAGACUCCUACGGGAGGCAGCAGUGGGGAAUUUUGGACAAUGGGCGCAAGCCUGAUCCAGCCAUGCCGCGUGAGUGAAGAAGGCCUUCGGUUGU